RNAcentral lists this ribosomal RNA (447 nucleotides) under uncultured bacterium. Its description in RNAcentral is "bacterial SSU rRNA". It matches the Rfam family "Bacterial small subunit ribosomal RNA", at positions 330 to 793 of the family's 1533-position model. The record is from RNAcentral.
UCCAGACUCCUACGGGAGGCAGCAGUGGGGAAUAUUGCACAAUGGGGGAAACCCUGAUGCAGCGACGCCGCGUGAGCGAUGAAGUAUUUCGGUAUGUAAAGCUCUAUCAGCAGGGAAGAAAAUGACGGUACCUGACUAAGAAGCCCCGGCUAACUACGUGCCAGCAGCCGCGGUAAUACGUAGGGGGCAAGCGUUAUCCGGAUUUACUGGGUGUAAAGGGAGCGUAGACGGCUGUGCAAGCCAGAUGUGAAAGCCCGGGGCUCAACCCCGGGACUGCAUUUGGAACUGUAUGGCUGGAGUGCAGGAGAGGCAGGCGGAAUUCCUAGUGUAGCGGUGAAAUGCGUAGAUAUUAGGAGGAACACCAGUGGCGAAGGCGGCCUGCUGGACUGUAACUGACGUUGAGGCUCGAAAGCGUGGGGAGCAAACAGGAUUAGAUACCCGGGUACG